RNAcentral lists this ribosomal RNA (511 nucleotides) under uncultured Actinomyces sp. RNAcentral's name for it is "bacterial SSU rRNA". It matches the Rfam family "Bacterial small subunit ribosomal RNA", at positions 1 to 507 of the family's 1533-position model. Lineage: Bacteria; Bacillati; Actinomycetota; Actinomycetes; Actinomycetales; Actinomycetaceae. The record is from RNAcentral.
GUCGUCGAGAGUAGUUUGAUCUCGGCGCAGGACGAACGCUGGCGGCGUGCUUAACACAUGCGAGUCGAACGCUGAAGCCCAGCUUGCUGGGUGGAUGAGUGGCGAACGGGUGAGUAACACGUGAGUAACCUGCCCCUUCUUUGGGAUAACGCCCGGAAACGGGUGCUAAUACUGGAUAUUCACUGGCCUUCGCAUGGGGGUUGGUGGAAAGGUUUUUUCUGGUGGGGGAUGGGCUCGCGGCCUAUCAGCUUGUUGGUGGGGUGAUGGCCUACCAAGGCUUUGACGGGUAGCCGGCCUGAGAGGGUGACCGGUCACAUUGGGACUGAGAUACGGCCCAGACUCCUACGGGAGGCAGCAGUGGGGAAUAUUGCACAAUGGGCGAAAGCCUGAUGCAGCGACGCCGCGUGAGGGAUGACGGCCUUCGGGUUGUAAACCUCUUUCGCUCAUGGUCAAGCCGCGACAUUGGUUGUGGUGAGGGGUAGUGGGUAAAGAAGCGCCGGCUAACUACGUG